RNAcentral lists this ribosomal RNA (254 nucleotides) under uncultured bacterium. Its description in RNAcentral is "partial 16S ribosomal RNA". It matches the Rfam family "Bacterial small subunit ribosomal RNA", at positions 524 to 776 of the family's 1533-position model. The record is from RNAcentral.
UACGGGGGGGGCAAGCGUUGUUCGGAAUUACUGGGCGUAAAGGGCGCGUAGGCGGCCUACUAAGUCAGACGUGAAAUCCCUCGGCUUAACCGGGGAACUGCGUCUGAUACUGGAUGGCUUGAGUUUGGGAGAGGGAUGCGGAAUUCCAGGUGUAGCGGUGAAAUGCGUAGAUAUCUGGAGGAACACCGGUGGCGAAGGCGGCAUCCUGGACCAACACUGACGCUGAGUGAGCGAAAGCCAGGGGAGCAAACGGG